GUGGAUUAGAUACCCGGGUAGUCCUGGCAGUAAACGGUGUGCGCUUGGUGUGAGGGGAUUCGACCCCCCUUGUGCCGGAGCUAACGCGUUAAGCGCACCGCCUGGGAAGUACGGCCGCAAGGCUAAAACUCAAAGAAAUUGACGGGGACCCGCACAAGCGGUGGAGUAUGUGGCUUAAUUCGAUGCAACGCGAAGAACCUUACCUAGGCUUGACAUGCAUCUCUAAACACGUGAAAGCGUGUGACCCUUCGGGGAAUUUGCACAGGUGCUGCACGGUUGUCGUCAGCU
RNAcentral lists this ribosomal RNA (288 nucleotides) under uncultured bacterium. RNAcentral's name for it is "partial 16S ribosomal RNA". It matches the Rfam family "Bacterial small subunit ribosomal RNA", at positions 773 to 1060 of the family's 1533-position model. The record is from RNAcentral.